RNAcentral lists this ribosomal RNA (881 nucleotides) under uncultured Halomonas sp. RNAcentral describes it as "bacterial SSU rRNA". It matches the Rfam family "Bacterial small subunit ribosomal RNA", at positions 12 to 884 of the family's 1533-position model. Lineage: Bacteria; Pseudomonadati; Pseudomonadota; Gammaproteobacteria; Oceanospirillales; Halomonadaceae. The record is from RNAcentral.
UUUGAUCCUGGCUCAGAUUGAACGCUGGCGGCAGGCCUAACACAUGCAAGUCGAGCGGCAGCACGGGAAGCUUGCUUCCUGGUGGCGAGCGGCGGACGGGUGAGUAAUGCAUAGGAAUCUGCCCGGUAGUGGGGGAUAACCUGGGGAAACCCAGGCUAAUACCGCAUACGUCCUACGGGAGAAAGCAGGGGCUCUUCGGACCUUGCGCUAUCGGAUGAGCCUAUGUCGGAUUAGCUGGUUGGUGAGGUAAUGGCUCACCAAGGCGACGAUCCGUAGCUGGUCUGAGAGGAUGAUCAGCCACAUCGGGACUGAGACACGGCCCGAACUCCUACGGGAGGCAGCAGUGGGGAAUAUUGGACAAUGGGCGCAAGCCUGAUCCAGCCAUGCCGCGUGUGUGAAGAAGGCCCUCGGGUUGUAAAGCACUUUCAGUGGGGAAGAAAGCCUUCCGGUUAAUACCCGGGAGGAAAGACAUCACCCACAGAAGAAGCACCGGCUAACUCCGUGCCAGCAGCCGCGGUAAUACGGAGGGUGCGAGCGUUAAUCGGAAUUACUGGGCGUAAAGCGCGCGUAGGUGGCUUGAUAAGCCGGUUGUGAAAGCCCCGGGCUCAACCUGGGAACGGCAUCCGGAACUGUCAGGCUAGAGUGCAGGAGAGGAAGGUAGAAUUCCCGGUGUAGCGGUGAAAUGCGUAGAGAUCGGGAGGAAUACCAGUGGCGAAGGCGGCCUUCUGGACUGACACUGACACUGAGGUGCGAAAGCGUGGGUAGCAAACAGGAUUAGAUACCCUGGUAGUCCACGCCGUAAACGAUGUCGACUAGCCGUUGGGUCCUUCGCGGACUUUGUGGCGCAGUUAACGCGAUAAGUCGACCGCCUGGGGAGUACG